CACAGAGGCAGGCCUCCGGGGGAGGAGGCCGGAGCCCCGCAGGCACAGCGCCUGGACUUCCCACCCAGCAUGACGCAUGGGGAGAAGUCUUCCUCCCCUUCAACGGCAGGAAGAUGGAUGUCGGCAUCAUAUGGACUCCCUGGACUCAGAAAUUCAAUUUGGGAGACAGACUUCUAGAACGGAGUUCACAUUUAAUAUCAAUAACUCAGGAAAUAUCUGUCCCCUGAGAUUCCCAGAAACGGAACUGCCGGACGAGCGUCCUCAGGUUCAUUCCCAGGGAAACUGGCUGAUGGGAAUUAAUUAAUGGACCCAAUAGGGAGGCUGCCGGCGUCGUCCCACCGCAAUCUGAGCUCUGGCCUCAUCUGCAUGUCGCCUUUAUUCUAAACAAUAGCACUGCUGAGAUUUCAGCCUGAAAUUGUUAGCUCAUUAAAGAGGACACAAUCGUA
Mustela lutreola (European mink) is the source of this 446-nucleotide long non-coding RNA. RefSeq lists it as uncharacterized. The record is from RefSeq and is a predicted model, not a curated record. Lineage: Eukaryota; Metazoa; Chordata; Mammalia; Carnivora; Mustelidae. The transcript is spliced from 3 exons.